UAAGCUGGUAAUGCAUGUGUUCCUUAAUGUAGCAAUAAAUAAUAAUGCAAUUAAACACAUAACACACAAUAUCAACAGAACAGGAUCCCACACACGCACUCAAUGAACCCAGCUGCAGAUGCAACCCCAGCUGCAGAUGCAAGGCUCCGAGGUGCAGAAGAGCCCGCUUUGGACAAAGCCUAAUCCCCUCAGUCAUUAUUUCAACUAAAUCAAUGACCCAGAACUAUGAACUUAUCUGUUUUUGCUGUCUAUUGUCUUUAUUGUUAUGAUUGUUACUGUUAUUGUGCUGUUUCGUCUGUCUGUGUCAAACAAGUGCAGUGUUUGUGGACAAGAAUUUCUCCUUGGGGACAAUAAAGUAAAGUAAAGUAAAGUAAAGUAAAGUAAAGUAAAGUAAAGUAAAGUAAAGUAAAGUAAAGUAAAGUAAAGUAAAGUAAAGUAAAGUAAAAUAAAGUAAAGUAAAACUAGGUCUAAUAAACCACAUUACUCAAAACACCUGCAUGGAUAUGGAGUUAUGCUGACUGACUUUUUAUUCAAUAUGUAAUUUAGUUUAAUUGCUCAUCACAAAAAAAAAAUUGUAUAAAGUCUUAAAUAAGUCAAAAGGGGACGUAUUAUAGUUCUUGUCCUGUAUUGCCCGCUAGGUGGCGAUAUACGCAUAUUUGCUGGUGAACCGCCACUACGACCGUAACAGAACAGAAAAAACACGAAGAAGAAGUGGUGGCGCAACACAGUUUAGCUAACGUUAAGAGCGACGGGCGCAGUUCGCGACAGCCGCUCCCAGCCUGAAUAACGCUACGACUCCACUUAGUGCUCGUCCUGCCUUUCUUAUGACAUCCUCUCAAAGCGGCCGACGCAGCGCAGCAUGUUCGAGGAUCAUGAACUUCAAGAUUCGUUGUCAUUGAGUCUCAAUGAAAACUGUGAUAAGCUGAAUUCAUCACAUUAUGAUCCAAAAAGAACACCAGUAAGUCCUGAUUAUACCUGUGACACCCCAGACAUUCAAGUAAUCAUCAAAGAAGAAGAAGAAGUGUGGACUGUGAGUGACAAUCAAGAGAGCUUCAGAUUAGGGGAACAGAAAGAGGUUACAUCUCCUACGCAAACUUGUCAUCCCCACCUCAAUGCAUGUGGGACAGAGAGCAUCAUUUUAUACGGAGACAAGAGAAACCAGAGUGUACAUUUGGUGGAGGAAUGCUCUGAGGAGUCAGCUGGUCCUGGGCUCCAUGGGCAGAACUCCUCUGACAGUGAGGGCCAGCCAGGACACGUCCGCCUUUACUCUGAUGACAAACAAAAGAUUUCCUCUAUAUGUGAGAAGGCAAAAGGAAAUGUGCACGAGUGUAGUGACACAGGGAAGAAAGCUACAUCUUCCUUGAAGACAGAAGCGGAACUACACGAGACCAAACAUUUGGCACCUUGCCAGUCAGAUUGUGCUAAACAAAAGCCCCUGAUCUCACAAGGAUUGAAGAUGACAUCACCAAACCUAGAGGACCAAACGCUACAUUUAACUGUCAGGCUGCAAGCAGGAGAGGAGGAUGAGGAGGAACAAGAUGAAGAAAUCGGUGGAUUAAUAAACUCUGAUGGGGAAGUUGUUGAGUGGGAUGUUAGAGACAGUCCUGACCAAGGUUCUGAGUGUGCAGAGGUUCUCCAGCCUAGCAAGCUUCAAGGCCAAAUCCAGAGAGACAGCAGUAGUCCAACUCUCAUCAUGGAAGUGUCUGUGGGGGAAGAUGAAGAAAGGGAAGAAGGGGAGGAAAAAGAGAGAGUAGUAAAGAUGACGACUGUUCCACGCUUAUACCGUGGAAAGAGACACAGAAGAAAGAACAAGGCCCCAGAAGUAGCAGUGGUGUCACUGGAUGUGUCAGACGUGCAGAAAGUAGUUCCUACAAAUCCCUUAAAGAUAAGGUGCAGAAGACGGAUUUCUAAAACUACGCUGUUGUCUGAUCAAGCUUUGGAGGAAGAACAUGGAUUAUCAAGGCGUUCAAGAAGAAGGAGAAAUGUAGCAACUGAAGUGAAAUCAGAGGAGCCAAAUGCAAAAGUCGUUUGCCGUGUGGCUGGAAAGCGAGCUUACAGAAGAAGGAAAGAUAUUAAAUCCACUUCUGAAGGAGAGAGCACAGAUGUUACAGCAGGUGAGCAGAAGAACUGA
This 2131-nucleotide long non-coding RNA is filed under the name Betta splendens (Siamese fighting fish). RNAcentral's name for it is "lncRNA (ENSBSLG00000001171.1)". The record is from RNAcentral. Lineage: Eukaryota; Metazoa; Chordata; Actinopteri; Anabantiformes; Osphronemidae.